GGUGCUUGCACCUGGUGGCGAGUGGCGAACGGGUGAGUAAUAUAUCGGAACGUACCCGGCAAUGGGGGAUAACUAGUCGAAAGAUUAGCUAAUACCGCAUAUGCCCUGAGGGGGAAAGUGGGGGAUCGCAAGACCUCACGUUGCCGGAGCGGCCGAUAUCAGAUUAGCUAGUUGGUGGGGUAAAGGCCCACCAAGGCGACGAUCUGUAGCUGGUCUGAGAGGACGACCAGCCACACUGGGACUGAGACACGGCCCAGACUCCUACGGGAGGCAGCAGUGGGGAAUUUUGGACAAUGGGGGAAACCCUGAUCCAGCCAUUCCGCGUGAGUGAAGAAGGCCUUCGGGUUGUAAAGCUCUUUCAGCUGGAACGAAACGGUGCGCUCUAACAUAGCGUGCUAAUGACGGUACCAGCAGAAGAAGCACCGGCUAACUACGUGCCAGCAGCCGCGGUAAUACGUAGGGUGCGAGCGUUAAUCGGAAUUACUGGGCGUAAAGCGUGCGCAGGCGGAUUGUUAAGCAAGACGUGAAAUCCCCGGGCUUAACCUGGGAAUGGCGUUUUGAACUGGCAGUCUAGAGUGUGUCAGAGGGGGGUGGAAUUCCACGUGUAGCAGUGAAAUGCGUA
Molecule: ribosomal RNA, 622 nt
Filed under: uncultured beta proteobacterium
Lineage: Bacteria; Pseudomonadati; Pseudomonadota; Betaproteobacteria
Description: bacterial SSU rRNA
Rfam family: Bacterial small subunit ribosomal RNA
Source: RNAcentral